AUGGACGACGGCACGGAGCUGCGGUUCGACCACGGCGCACCCUGCUUCACCGUCAGCAACGACGAGGUGGCCCGCGUCGUGGGCGGGUGGGAGGCGCGGGGGCUAGUCGCCGAGUGGAAGGCCAUGUUCGCCUGCUUCGAUCGGGAGACCGGCAAAUUCAGAGACUUCGAUAAGGAGGGAACCAUGAAGAAGUAUGUUGGUGUUCCUGGCAUGAACUCAAUAUGCAAAUCUCUGUGUCAAGAGGAUGGUGUGGUGUCCAAAUUUGGUGUCACUAUUGGAAAGAUGGAUUGGCUUCAACAUAGGAGCUCAUGGUCGUUGGCUAGCUUGGAUGGCAAAGAUCUUGGCAGUUUUGAUUUUGUUGUGGCAACAGAUAAAAACAUAGCAUCACAAAAAGUUUCUGGGUUGACUGGAAAGCCACCGCCUCUUGAUUUGUCAGUAUUUCCACACUUGUCAGCAAUGAUUCAAGAUAUCCCAGUUCGGCCCUGUUUUGCUCUGAUGUUAGCAUUCUCAGAGCCUCUUGCUAUGGUACCUGUCCAAGGGUUCUCUUUCCACAAUUUUGAUUCUCUAAGCUGGGCCUUUUGCGAUAGUAGUAAGCCAGGGCCUCAUGUACCUCCUAAUAGUCAAUCGUGGGUAUUGCGUUCAACCACCGAGUAUGCUUCUAAGGUAAUAGACAGUAUGGGUCCCCGGAAACCUUCAGCAGAUGCCCUUGCUAAGGUUGCAGAGGAAUUGUUCAGAGAAUUUCAGGGUACAGGACUGAACAUUCCACAGCCUAUCUUUAUGAAAGCUCAUAGAUGGGGUGGUGCUUUCCCAGCCAUUUCUAUUGGCGGUGAUGAUAAGUGUGUCUGGGAGAAGAACAUGAAAUUGGCUAUCUGUGGAGAUUUCUGCGCUAGUCCAAGUGUCGAAGGGGCUGUCCUUAGUGGCAUGAGAGGCGCUUCCAAAAUCCUUGGAUGUUUAAACUUACCAUCAGGGUUGUGA
This 975-nucleotide ribosomal RNA is filed under the name Triticum aestivum (bread wheat). RNAcentral describes it as "partial small subunit ribosomal RNA". Lineage: Eukaryota; Viridiplantae; Streptophyta; Magnoliopsida; Poales; Poaceae. The record is from RNAcentral.